This 21-nucleotide unclassified non-coding RNA is filed under the name Mus musculus (house mouse). RNAcentral's name for it is "oocyte_clustered_small_RNA6003". Lineage: Eukaryota; Metazoa; Chordata; Mammalia; Rodentia; Muridae. The record is from RNAcentral.
GUGGCCAUUUCAUAGUACUGG